AACGAACGCUGGCGGCAUGCCUAACACAUGCAAGUCGAACGAGACCUUCGGGUCUAGUGGCGCACGGGUGCGUAACGCGUGGGAACCUGCCUUUAGGUUCGGAAUAACUCAGAGAAAUUUGAGCUAAUACCGGAUGAUGUCUUCGGACCAAAGAUUUAUCGCCUUUAGAUGGGCCCGCGUUGGAUUAGCUAGUCGGUGGGGUAAAGGCCUACCAAGGCGACGAUCCAUAGCUGGUCUGAGAGGAUGAUCAGCCACACUGGGACUGAGACACGGCCCAGACUCCUACGGGAGGCAGCAGUGGGGAAUAUUGGACAAUGGGCGAAAGCCUGAUCCAGCAAUGCCGCGUGAGUGAUGAAGGCCUUAGGGUUGUAAAGCUCUUUUACCCGAGAUGAUAAUGGCAGUAUCGGGAGAAUAAGCUCCGGCUAACUCCGUG
RNAcentral lists this ribosomal RNA (433 nucleotides) under uncultured bacterium. Its description in RNAcentral is "partial 16S ribosomal RNA". It matches the Rfam family "Bacterial small subunit ribosomal RNA", at positions 29 to 507 of the family's 1533-position model. The record is from RNAcentral.